CUUCCAAAAACAUAUUUUAUAGAAAUAAUUAUNAAUAUAGCCUGCUCAAUGUUCAAUAAAUAGCCGCAGUUUAUACUGUGCUAAGGUAGCAUAAUCAUUUGCUUUUUAAUUAAAAGCUAGAAUGAAAGGUAUUACAUUUAAAUUAUUAUAUAAACCUCCCUAUUCCAAUUUAUUUUAAAUGUAAAAAAACAUUUAUUUCUAAGAAAGACGAUAAGACCCUAUUGAACUUCACUUUAGUUUAACUGGGGUAGUUAAAUAAUUAAAACUUUAUAAUUAACAAACCAAAUGAUCUAAUCAAAUUAAUUUUAUGACUAAGUUACCAUAGGGAUAACAGCGUAAUAUUUUUUAAUAGAUCUCAUAUAAAAAAAUGAUUACGACCUCGAUGUUGAAUUAAUUAAUCUAAUACACGCAAAAG
Molecule: ribosomal RNA, 415 nt
Filed under: Heteropoda tetrica
Lineage: Eukaryota; Metazoa; Arthropoda; Arachnida; Araneae; Sparassidae
Description: partial 16S ribosomal RNA
Source: RNAcentral